This 389-nucleotide long non-coding RNA is filed under the name Suricata suricatta (meerkat). Its description in RNAcentral is "lncRNA (ENSSSUG00005018240.1)". Lineage: Eukaryota; Metazoa; Chordata; Mammalia; Carnivora; Herpestidae. The record is from RNAcentral.
AUGUGCUCCAGAAGAACAAGAACACAGCACAUAACAGAUACGUUUUCAAAAAUGGUAAAAAUGUCACAAAUGGUAUCUCUCAAGAUUUUGAAUCUAAACCUGAAACUCCCAGGAAUACUCUCAGCCAUCUAUUCUCUCAGCGUAAAAUGUGCUCUAGGACCACUUGGAUUGCUAUCACUGGGGCGCUUACUACAGAUGCACAUUUCUGGUCCCUCCCGGAUUUACUGAAUCAGAAUUUCUAAAGAGGACCAAGAAACAGAAUUUCUACUAUCAACCUAGAAGAUUCCUUUCCUACACCAACAGAAUUCUACUUCUUUAAUAAUGGGUUGUUGACUUUUAUUUAUCAAAGGUUACUGUGAGACACAAAUAAAAUCUAUUUUUUUAGUGCU